This 463-nucleotide ribosomal RNA is filed under the name uncultured microorganism. RNAcentral's name for it is "bacterial SSU rRNA". It matches the Rfam family "Bacterial small subunit ribosomal RNA", at positions 9 to 521 of the family's 1533-position model. The record is from RNAcentral.
GAGUUUGAUCUUGGCUCAGAAUGAACGCUGGCGGCAUGCCUAACACAUGCAAGUCGAACGAAGGCUUCGGCCUUAGUGGCGCACGGGUGCGUAACGCGUGGGAAUCUGCCCUUGGGUUCGGAAUAACAGUUAGAAAUGACUGCUAAUACCGGAUGAUGUCGUAAGACCAAAGAUUUAUCGCCCAAGGAUGAGCCCGCGUAGGAUUAGCUAGUUGGUGGGGUAAAGGCCCACCAAGGCGACGAUCCUUAGCUGGUCUGAGAGGAUGAUCAGCCACACUGGGACUGAGACACGGCCCAGACUCCUACGGGAGGCAGCAGUGGGGAAUAUUGGACAAUGGGCGAAAGCCUGAUCCAGCAAUGCCGCGUGAGUGAUGAAGGCCUUAGGUUGUAAAGCUCUUUUACCCGGGAUGAUAAUGACAGUACCGGAGAAUAAGCUCCGGCUAACUCGUGCCAGCAGCCGCAGU